CCAGACUCCUACGGGAGGCAGCAGUAGGGAAUUUUGCGCAAUGGACGAAAGUCUGACGCAGCAACGCCGCGUGAGCGAUGAAGGUCUUCGGAUCGUAAAGCUCUGUUGAGUGGGAAGAAACGUCUCGGGGUUAAUAUCUCCGAGGCCUGACGGUACCACUCGAGGAAGCUCCGGCCAACUACGUGCCAGCAGCCGCGGUAAUACGUAGGGAGCGAGCGUUGUUCGGAAUCACUGGGCGUAAAGGGAGUGCAGGCGGAAAGGUAAGUCAGAAGUGUAAUCUACGGGCUUAACCCGUAUCUCGCUUUUGAUACUGCUUUUCUUGAGUAGUGGAGAGGGAAACGGAAUUCCAGGUGUAGCGGUGGAAUGCGUAGAUAUCUGGAAGAACACCAGUAGCGAAGGCGGUUUCCUGGCCACAUACUGACGCUGAGGCUCGAAAGCGUGGGGAGCAAACAGGAUUAGAUACCCUGGUAGUCCACGCCGUAAACGAUGGGCACUAGAUAUCGGGGAAUUCGAUUUCUUCGGUGUCGCAGUUAACGCGAUAAGUGCCCCGCCUGGGGAGUACGCCCGCAAGGGUGAAACUCAAAGGAAUUGACGGGGGCCCGCACAAGCGGUGGAGCAUGCGCUUUAAUUCGAUGCAACGCGAAGAACCUUACCUGGGUUUGACAUGGGAGUGAAAGUUCCUAGAGAUAGGAACCUUUCCUUCGGGAACACUCCACACAGGUGCUGCAUGGUUGUCGUCAGCUCGUGUCGUGAGAUGUUGGGUUAAGUCCCGCAACGAGCGCAACCCUCGCCCUUAGUUGCCAUCAGGUAAUGCUGGGAACUCUAGGGGGACCGCCUGGAACAACCAGGAGGAAGGUGGGGAUGAUGUCAAAUCAUCAUGGCUCUUACGUCCAGGGCUAGACGCGUGCUACAAUGGUCGGUACAGAAGGAUGCCAAGUCGUGAGACCGAGCUAAUCCAUGAAACCGGGCCUCAGUUCGGAUUGGAGUCUGCAAUUCGACU
RNAcentral lists this ribosomal RNA (1000 nucleotides) under uncultured organism. Its description in RNAcentral is "bacterial SSU rRNA". It matches the Rfam family "Bacterial small subunit ribosomal RNA", at positions 331 to 1317 of the family's 1533-position model. The record is from RNAcentral.